AAACGGUAGCUAAUACCGCAUAACGUCGCAAGACCAAAGAGGGGGACCUUCGGGCCUCUUGCCAUCGGAUGUGCCCAGAUGGGAUUAGCUAGUAGGUGGGGUAACGGCUCACCUAGGCGACGAUCCCUAGCUGGUCUGAGAGGAUGACCAGCCACACUGGAACUGAGACACGGUCCAGACUCCUACGGGAGGCAGCAGUGGGGAAUAUUGCACAAUGGGCGCAAGCCUGAUGCAGCCAUGCCGCGUGUAUGAAGAAGGCCUUCGGGUUGUAAAGUACUUUCAGCGGGGAGGAAGGGAGUAAAGUUAAUACCUUUACUCAUUGACGUUACCCGCAGAAGAAGCACCGGCUAACUCCGUGCCAGCAGCCGCGGUAAUACGGAGGGUGCAAGCGUUAAUCGGAAUUACUGGGCGUAAAGCGCACGCAGGCGGUUUGUUAAGUCAGAUGUGAAAUCCCCGGGCUCAACCUGGGAACUGCAUCUGAUACUGGCAAACUUGAGUCUCGUAGAGGGGGGUAGAAUUCCA
Molecule: ribosomal RNA, 522 nt
Filed under: uncultured Pseudomonadota bacterium
Lineage: Bacteria; Pseudomonadati; Pseudomonadota
Description: bacterial SSU rRNA
Rfam family: Bacterial small subunit ribosomal RNA
Source: RNAcentral